GCUGGCGUAGCUCAACGGUAGAGCACCUGAUUUGUAAUCAGGGGGUUGCGGGUUCGAAUCCCAUCGCCAGCUCCA
Molecule: transfer RNA, 75 nt
Filed under: Myxococcales bacterium
Lineage: Bacteria; Pseudomonadati; Myxococcota; Myxococcia; Myxococcales
Also listed under: 1 other name
Description: tRNA-Thr
Rfam family: tRNA
About the family: Transfer RNA (tRNA) molecules are approximately 80 nucleotides in length.
Source: RNAcentral